UACGUAGGGUCCAAGCGUUAUCCGGAAUUACUGGGCGUAAAGCGUGCGUAGGUGGGUGUUUAAGUGAGAUGCGAAAUCCUGUGGCUCAACCAUAUGGACUGUAUCUCAUACUGGACGCCUAGAGGACGGCAGAGGCAAGUGGAAUUACCGGUGUAGCAGUGAAAUGCGUAGAUAUCGGUAGGAACACCAAUGGCGAAGGCAGCUUGCUGGGCCGACCCUGACACUGAGGCACGAAAGCGUGGGGAGCGAACAGG
Molecule: unclassified non-coding RNA, 254 nt
Filed under: uncultured Patescibacteria group bacterium
Lineage: Bacteria
Description: contains 16S-23S intergenic spacer region
Rfam family: Bacterial small subunit ribosomal RNA
Source: RNAcentral